CCCUUAGAUGUUCUGGGCUGCACGCGCGCUACACUGAAAGAGGCAACGUGUUUGCCUGAUUCGAAAGAAUUGGGUAACCCCCUAAUCUCUUUCGUGCUGGGGAUUGAGGUUUGCAAUUAUCCUUCAUGAACGAGGAAUUCCCAGUAAGUGCGAGUCAUUAUCUCGCGCUGACUACGUCCCUGCCCUUUGUACACACCGCCCGUCGCUACUACCGAUUGAAUGAUUUAGUGAGGACUUCGGACUGAGUCCAAUGCGGCUUUCGGGCUGCGUUGGUAUUUCGGAAAGAUGUCCAAACUGUAUCAUUUAGAGGAAGUAAAAGUCGUAACA
RNAcentral lists this ribosomal RNA (327 nucleotides) under uncultured eukaryote. RNAcentral's name for it is "partial 18S ribosomal RNA". It matches the Rfam family "Eukaryotic small subunit ribosomal RNA", at positions 1470 to 1796 of the family's 1831-position model. The record is from RNAcentral.